UGAGCAACCUGCCCUUGACUCUGGAAUAACAGUUGGAAACAGCUGCUAAUACCGGAUAUGACUCUGUGUACAUCACACGGAGUGGAAG
This 88-nucleotide ribosomal RNA is filed under the name uncultured bacterium. RNAcentral describes it as "partial 16S ribosomal RNA". The record is from RNAcentral.